AUCACAGCCUUCCCCUGAUCUGCCCCUUUAAGAAAAAUCAGCCCUCUCCGCUCCUCACCCUCCGCACACUGACCUUACACACUGGACAAUAUUUAAGGAUCAAGGUGCCAUCCUAUAAAGAGAAGAAAUCGCUGGCUCCUCUGGCCAUGAAAAAAACACCGUGUAAAUUGCCAUUUCAGAUUUUUCAAAAAACAUGUUCAGCUCUAAGAAUUCUUCCGAAUUCGUUACACUCCGCCGCGCGAGGCUGCGCCUUGAUGGCCCCGGCGAAGGUGGAGGAACGAACUACCCAUUAAUUUAAGAGAUUUGGGUUGAAACCUCAGAACACUGUGAUGGGAGCAGUGAGGAGACAAACCCUGACACACUCUCAGAGUUCUGCUCUUUGCCUUCAGAAGCCCCAAGUUUCACACAGACCCUCCCAUAACUUCUAUUAACACACAGAGGGCAUGUCAAACAUUUAGAAACAAGGUCAUCACGUUUCUCAGCCUUACUGGUGGCUUUUUAGCCCACGAAUUUCCCACAUGAGAGCUCUUGGCAGUCCCACAGGAGCGCCACAGGUUUGUUGUUGAAAAUAAGUGAGGUGCAGCUCGUGAUAAGACAAUCAAUGAACAGUUAAAAUCCAAGCUCCAAAGACAUGGUUAGAAAAUUAAAUGCAAAUAUAUACAAACUAGUCAAUGGUUUCUAUGAACAUAAAUGUCUGUCUACCUCAUGACUGCUAUUUUCCAGCCAGCUUUCCAACCAGUGCAGUCUUUGCACUUCUCUAUCUACAAUUGUACCAUUUAUAAGCCAGGAGCCCACCUCGCCCAUGUGCUUGUUCCUACAGUGACUCAUGUUCCACUGGGUUUUAUUCCUGGGAAGACUUGUGCUGAACCAGAGGAAAGAGCAGAACCUUUGGGGAAGGAAUGGCACGGUUUGGAAAGCAUCAGACACACUCACUGCUCCCUGUCAGAAAAUGAAAGCUCUGGUUUACAUCUCAUGUGAGAAA
Molecule: long non-coding RNA, 982 nt
Organism: Lepidothrix coronata (blue-crowned manakin)
Lineage: Eukaryota; Metazoa; Chordata; Aves; Passeriformes; Pipridae
Exons: 3
Source: RefSeq, a predicted model, not a curated record